Molecule: ribosomal RNA, 253 nt
Filed under: uncultured bacterium
Lineage: Bacteria
Description: partial 16S ribosomal RNA
Rfam family: Bacterial small subunit ribosomal RNA
Source: RNAcentral
UACAGAGGGUGCGAGCGUUGUCCGGAAUCACUGGGCGUAAAGGGCGCGUAGGUGGCGCCGCAAGUCCAUGGUGAAAGCUCGAUGCUCAACAUCGAGUCGGCCACGGAGACUGCGGGGCUCGAGCACUGUAGGGGCAGAUGGAAUUCCCGGUGUAGCGGUGAAAUGCGCAGAUAUCGGGAGGAACACCGGUGGCGAAGGCGGUUCUCUGGGCCUUACCUGACGCUGAGGAGCGAAAGCGUGGGGAGCGAACAGG